GGACAGGUGGUGCAUGGUUGUCGUCAGCUCGUGUCGUGAGAUGUGGGUUAAGUCCCGCAACGAGCGCAACCCUCGACCUUAGUUGCCAGCAUUCAGUUGGGCACUCUAAGGUGACUGCCGGCUAAAAGUCGGAGGAAGGUGGGGAUGACGUCAAAUCAUCAUGCCCCUUAUGACCUGGGCUACACACGUGCUACAAUGGGCGGUACAAAGGGUCGCGAACCCGCGAGGGGGAGCCAAUCCCAAAAAGCCGCUCUCAGUUCGGAUUGCAGGCUGCAACUCGCCUGCAUGAAGCCGGAAUCGCUAGUAAUCGCGGAUCAGCAUGCCGCGGUGAAUACGUUCCCGGGCCUU
RNAcentral lists this ribosomal RNA (348 nucleotides) under uncultured Anoxybacillus sp. RNAcentral's name for it is "bacterial SSU rRNA". It matches the Rfam family "Bacterial small subunit ribosomal RNA", at positions 1032 to 1382 of the family's 1533-position model. Lineage: Bacteria; Bacillati; Bacillota; Bacilli; Caryophanales; Anoxybacillaceae. The record is from RNAcentral.